AAGAGUGAUAGUGGGUCACCUUGGUGUAACCCAAUGCUCAAUGAAAAUUCUUCAAAGGGUGAACCAUUUAAAAGAAUACUCACUCUAGCCUUGGAGAUACGUUUUAAAAUCCAGGGUUACCACUUUUGACCAAAACCCAUGUCAAUUAUGGUUCGGUCAAGGUGAGGCCAAAUCACCUAAUCAAAUGCCUUCUCAAAGUCAAUCUUGCAAAGGAAACAACUAUGUCUUCUUUAUGAAAGUCAAUAAUUUCUGAUGCUAUUAGAAGGCAACCCAAGACUUGUCUACCACUAAUAAAUGCACUCUGAUAAU
Molecule: unclassified non-coding RNA, 309 nt
Filed under: Hevea brasiliensis (rubber tree)
Lineage: Eukaryota; Viridiplantae; Streptophyta; Magnoliopsida; Malpighiales; Euphorbiaceae
Source: RNAcentral